RNAcentral lists this ribosomal RNA (326 nucleotides) under uncultured bacterium. RNAcentral's name for it is "bacterial SSU rRNA". It matches the Rfam family "Bacterial small subunit ribosomal RNA", at positions 29 to 355 of the family's 1533-position model. The record is from RNAcentral.
AUUGAACGCUGGCGGCAUGCCUUACACAUGCAAGUCGAACGUGAAAGGGGGGCAACCCCCGAGUAGAGUGGCGGACGGGUGAGUAACACAUUCGGAACGUACCCAGUAGUGGGGGACAACCUCGAGAAAUCGAGGCUAAUACCGCAUACCGACCCACGGGUGAAAGCGGGGGACCGCAAGGCCUCGCGCUAUUGGAGCGGCCGAUGUCCGAUUAGCUUGUUGGCGGGGUAANAGCCCACCAAGGCGACGAUCGGUAGCUGGUCUGAGAGGAUGAUCAGCCACACUGGGACUGAGACACGGCCCAGACUCCUACGGGAGGCAGCAGU